AAGAUUAAGCCAUGCAUGUCUAAGUAUAAGCAAUUAUACAGCGAAACUGCGAAUGGCUCAUUAUAUAAGUUAUCGUUUAUUUGAUAGUGCCUUACUACUUGGAUAACCGUGGUAAUUCUAGAGCUAAUACAUGCUACAAGCCCUGACUUCGGAAGGGGCGUAUUUAUUAGAUUAAAAACCAACGCCCUCUGGGCUCCUUGGUGAAUCAUGAUAACUUCACGAAUCGCACGGCCUUGCGCCGGCGAUGGCUCAUUCAAAUUUCUUCCCUAUCAACUUUCGAUGUUUGGGUAGUGGCCAAACAUGGUUGCAACGGGUAACGGAGGGUUAGGGCUCGACCCCGGAGAAGGAGCCUGAGAAACGGCUACUACAUCCAAGGAAGGCAGCAGGCGCGCAAAUUACCCAAUCCCGACUCGGGGAGGUAGUGACAAUAAAUACUGAUACAGGGCUCUUUCGGGUCUUGUAAUCGGAAUGAGUACAAUUUAAAUCCCUUAACGAGGAACAAUUGGAGGGCAAGUCUGGUGCCAGCAGCCGCGGUAAUUCCAGCUCCAAUAGCGUAUAUUAAAGUUGUUGUGGUUAAAAAGCUCGUAGUUGAACCUUGGGCCUGGCUGGCCGGUCCGCCUCACCGCGUGUACUGGUCCGGCCGGGCCUUUCCCUCUGUGGAACCUCAUGCCCUUCACUGGGUGUGCAGGGGAAACAGGACUUUUACUUUGAAAAAAUUAGAGUGCUCCAGGCAGGCCUAUGCUCGAAUACAUUAGCAUGGAAUAAUAAAAUAGGACGUGCGGUUCUAUUUUGUUGGUUUCUAGGACCGCCGUAAUGAUUAAUAGGGACAGUCGGGGGCAUCAGUAUUCAAUUGUCAGAGGUGAAAUUCUUGGAUUUAUUGAAGACUAACUACUGCGAAAGCAUUUGCCAAGGAUGUUUUCAUUAAUCAGGAACGAAAGUUAGGGGAUCGAAAACGAUCAGAUACCGUUGUAGUCUUAACCAUAAACUAUGCCGACUAGGGAUCGGACGAUGUUAUUUUUUGACUCGUUCGGCACCUUACGAGAAAUCAAAGUGCUUGGGCUCCAGGGGGAGUAUGGUCGCAAGGCUGA
Molecule: ribosomal RNA, 1088 nt
Filed under: Stachybotrys chartarum
Lineage: Eukaryota; Fungi; Ascomycota; Sordariomycetes; Hypocreales; Stachybotryaceae
Description: SSU rRNA
Rfam family: Eukaryotic small subunit ribosomal RNA
Source: RNAcentral